AAAGCACCCGUCGGAGCGGAAGCGGCGCGGCGGCGGCGGGUUCAUGGACUCUGGCUCCAGAUCCAGCGGCGGCGCCGGCUUCGACGACGACGACGGCCUCGCCGCGCGCCGCGAGGUCUCCUCCUCGCUGCAAGAGGGAAGAGUAGGGGGAAGGGAGGAGUUGGCGCGACCUGACGGCGGCGGCCAUGGAGGCGCGGUGCGCGCGGCCGUCGCACGUCCACCAGCUCCACGCUCACCUCCUGGUCUCCGGCCGCCUCCUCGGCGGCUCGCCGGCGCUUGCGCUCCUGCUGCUGCGCGCUGCCUGCCGUGUCCGUGCGUCCCCGUGCCUCCGCCCCCUCGCCCGCCACCUGCUCGACCACGUCCCCCACCCGCCCCCGCACCUUCUCCACGCCGCCUCCCGCCUCGCGUUCCGUCUCCGCCUGACCUCCCUCGCGCUCCGCCACUACCUCGCUGUCCGCGCGGGACACCCGGCCUUCCUCCCGCCCGCCCCUGCCAUUGGCGAUGUGCUCAAGUCUGUCCCUGGCCGCGCAGCCCAUGCCCACGCGUUACGUCUCACUGACGGGGACACGCGAUUCCUGCACAAUUCACUCAUCGCCAUGUACUUUUCCUGCGGGGAUGCCGGCCGUGCUCGCCGCGUGUUCGAGGGAACGCGUGACUGCGACAGGGACGUUGUCUCCUGGACCUCUCUCAUCUCCGGGCUCGUGCAAAGUGGCAGCCCCUUGCAAGCGUUACGGCUGUUUGCAGCGAUGAUGUGCUGUCAUGUCCGUCCUGAUUUUGUGCUGCUUGUCACGGUCCUCAAGGCGUACAUGGAGCUCGAUGACUUGCCAGGUGCCAAAUCAGCUCAUUCCUUGGUAGUCAAGGGUGGCUUCGAUUAUGAACAAGAUGUUGUGACCACGUUGACGGCCAUGUAUGCCAAGUUUGGCUGCAUCGUGGCUGCGAGGGCACUCUUCGACAGGAUCCCGCCCCCGCGGGUAAAUGUGAUCCUGUGGAAUGCCAUGAUAUCGGGUUACUCCAAGAACGGGCUUGCCGGCGAGGCAGUGCAUUUGUUCAAGCAGAUGCAGGUGUUUGCAAGGAGCAUGAGCCCUGAUUCUGUCACGUUGCGGUCGGUGAUCAUGGCCUGUGCUCAGCUCGGCUCCACCGAGCUUGCAGUAUGGAUGGAGGAUUAUGUACGCCGCAGUGAGUGCAGGGAGGAUGUUCUCGUGAACACAGCGUUGAUUGACAUGUACGCCAAGUCAGGGAGCAUUGCCCAUGCGCGCAGAGUCUUUGAACAGAUGCGUGCCCAUGAGCGGGAUGUGGUAGUCUGGAGUGCAUUGAUCUCAGGUUACGGGGUGCACGGCCAUCUCGCUGAGGCCAUUGGUCUGUUUGAGGACAUGAAGCUUGCAGGGGUGAAACCGAAUGAUGUGACUUUCUUGGGGCUUUUGUCAGCGUGCAACCAUGCGGGCGCUGUGGAGAAAGGGUGGUUCUACUUUCAUUCCAUGAAACCUGACCACAAGAUCGAGCCUCGGCACCAGCACUAUGCUUGUGUGGUCGACCUGCUUGCUCGUGCUGGUCAGCUUGACAGAGCAUAUCGAUUUAUACUUGACAUGCCCAUCAAGCCAGAGAUGAGUGUGUGGGGUGCCUUACUUCACGGUUGCAAGAUGCACGAGCACUCAAACAUGGCCAUGGCUGAGAGGGCAGCACAGCACAUCUUUGAGUUGGAGCAGUCCAACGCGGGGCAUUAUGUGCAGCUGGCAAACAUGUAUGCGUCUGCAGGGAUGUGGAGCCAUGUUGCUGGUGUACGGGUCACCAUGAGAGAGAGGGGUGUCACCAAAGCAACCGGAUGCAGCUCCAUUGAGGUCGAUGGAAAGAUGCACAACUUCCAUGCCUGGGAUCACUCGCAUCCAAGGGCCGCCGAGAUUUUCGCCUUACUCUGCCUUCUUUCUCAAAGUCCAACUGGCCAUGAAAUGGGGCAUGCCAGCUGUUGAGUUCCUUUUUGUAGUUAGGAAAAACUCCUCAUAUCCUGUAAUACUUUCACAUAGUAUCUUGGCAGCCAGCAUUAAUUGUGUCAUGCAUAUCGUGUCCCUACAAUGCAAUUGCGAUACAAUUCGUCGCGAGCACUGUGACCAUCAAAAUAAACAAAACAUACCAGAGUUAGCUGUCAGGGUGGAUGCGAAGGGCGGGAGCUGCAGCGGCAGCGGCACGGAUCAGCUGCCAAACACACCAAAGUCAAAGCAUUCUGCAACUGAGCAGCGCCGCCGUAGCAAGAUCAAUGACAGGUUUCAGAUACUUAGGGAUCUUUUACCACACACUGAUCAAAAGAGAGACAAGGCAACAUUUCUCUUAGAGGUUAUUGAAUAUAUACGAUUUUUGCAAGAGAAAGCACAGAAGUACGAGGCUUCAUUUCCAGAAUGGAACCAAGAAAAUGCAAAGUUGCUCCCAUGGUCAAACAUGUAUUUUCGAUCAUCUUGGAAAAAUGCACAGAGUAAAGGGCAAAUCGCAGAAGAUGCCUCGCCUGACCCUUCACAAUUCAUCAGAAAUGGGGCCUCCCCUGGAUUCAAUAUCACAGGCAAGCUUGAUGAUAACCACACCGCGGCUAUCUCAGGGGCACCGGAUCAGGCAGAAACCGACCACAUGGCUAGUGUGUCCUGUAGAUCGGCGGACACUCCAACAAAUAUUAUGAAUAAUGUUUCGCCCCAGUCCCAACCACAAUGGGCAGAUCCAUCUGGUGUGGAUGAUUGCGCUGUGAACAGUGACGUGUUAAAUAAUCAACAAUUGAUGAUUGAUGAAGGAACAAUCAGCGUGUCAAGCCAAUAUUCCCAAGAGCUACUUAACACAUUGACGCAUGCUCUUCAAAGCUCGGGUAUAGAUUUGUCCCAAGCCAACAUCUCUGUCCAGAUCAACCUGGGCAAGCGAGCUGUCAAAAGACCUAUUGCUGGACAAUCCUCCAAUUUUAAGGAGCACACCGAUCUAGGCCCGACGAACAACAUGAUGGGCCAUCAGCAGACGAUGCUGGGCAACGCCGCCGAAGAGCUUCCCCAUGCGACGAAGCGGUACAAGCCGGGCAACACCUGACGGCGGCGACCCUCGCCGCAUUCUCCACCCAAGACAGGAUUGAUCAUUCUUUCCUCUGCGGCAUUGCCAGCGGAGACCCUGAGAUUGCAUGUACAUUAUGUUGUUCUGUGACGGCACCGGGACGAGCGAGACUUUGGUGCAUUCUUUCAUUUAAUCUUCGCGCCGCCACCUUUUAUUUAUUGUUGAAGUAAAAGCAAAACAAAACAAAGAAGCUUCCAUUGCAGAUUGUGAAGCUGCUCUUGUAGUACUAGUAUAUACAGGCUUCCAUUCGUAUGCGAAGUUUCUCCCCCGUGUAACCUGUAAGAUAACUCGAUCGACUAUAUUUCCUGUUAGUUAAGUCGCACCCUGGAGUAUGUCA
Molecule: RNA transcript, 3409 nt
Organism: Triticum aestivum (bread wheat)
Lineage: Eukaryota; Viridiplantae; Streptophyta; Magnoliopsida; Poales; Poaceae
Gene name: transcription factor BIM1
Exons: 10
Source: RefSeq, a predicted model, not a curated record